RNAcentral lists this ribosomal RNA (3010 nucleotides) under Salmonella enterica subsp. enterica serovar Muenster. RNAcentral describes it as "23S ribosomal RNA". It matches the Rfam family "Bacterial large subunit ribosomal RNA". Lineage: Bacteria; Pseudomonadati; Pseudomonadota; Gammaproteobacteria; Enterobacterales; Enterobacteriaceae. The record is from RNAcentral. RNAcentral also lists the same sequence under 2 other names.
GGGUUGUGAGGUUAAGCGACUAAGCGUACACGGUGGAUGCCCUGGCAGUCAGAGGCGAUGAAGGGCGUGCUAAUCUGCGAUAAGCGCCGGUAAGGUGAUAUGAACCGUUAUAACCGGCGAUACCCGAAUGGGGAAACCCAGUGUGACUCGUCACACUAUCAUUAACUGAAUCCAUAGGUUAAUGAGGCGAACCGGGGGAACUGAAACAUCUAAGUACCCCGAGGAAAAGAAAUCAACCGAGAUUCCCCCAGUAGCGGCGAGCGAACGGGGAGGAGCCCAGAGCCUGAAUCAGCAUGUGUGUUAGUGGAAGCGUCUGGAAAGGCGCGCGAUACAGGGUGACAGCCCCGUACACAAAAGCGCAUGUGCUGUGAGCUCGAUGAGUAGGGCGGGACACGUGGUAUCCUGUCUGAAUAUGGGGGGACCAUCCUCCAAGGCUAAAUACUCCUGACUGACCGAUAGUGAACCAGUACCGUGAGGGAAAGGCGAAAAGAACCCCGGCGAGGGGAGUGAAAAAGAACCUGAAACCGUGUACGUACAAGCAGUGGGAGCACAGGUUUACCUGUGUGACUGCGUACCUUUUGUAUAAUGGGUCAGCGACUUAUAUUCUGUAGCAAGGUUAACCGAAUAGGGGAGCCGGAGGGAAACCGAGUCUUAAUUGGGCGUUAAGUUGCAGGGUAUAGACCCGAAACCCGGUGAUCUAGCCAUGGGCAGGUUGAAGGUUGGGUAACACUAACUGGAGGACCGAACCGACUAAUGUUGAAAAAUUAGCGGAUGACCUGUGGCUGGGGGUGAAAGGCCAAUCAAACCGGGAGAUAGCUGGUUCUCCCCGAAAGCUAUUUAGGUAGCGCCUCGUGAAUUCAUCUCCGGGGGUAGAGCACUGUUUCGGCUAGGGGGCCAUCCCGGCUUACCAACCCGAUGCAAACUGCGAAUACCGGAGAAUGUUAUCACGGGAGACACACGGCGGGUGCUAACGUCCGUCGUGAAGAGGGAAACAACCCAGACCGCCAGCUAAGGUCCCAAAGUCAUGGUUAAGUGGGAAACGAUGUGGGAAGGCCCAGACAGCCAGGAUGUUGGCUUAGAAGCAGCCAUCAUUUAAAGAAAGCGUAAUAGCUCACUGGUCGAGUCGGCCUGCGCGGAAGAUGUAACGGGGCUAAACCAUGCACCGAAGCUGCGGCAGCGAACGUAUCACUUAAAGCGAUUCAGCGGGUUACGAUUGACGGAGCGAAGCGACGUCAAAGCGUAUACAAAGUCGAGUCGGUUUAAGGAUACGUUCGUUGGGUAGGGGAGCGUUCUGUAAGCCUGUGAAGGUGUGCUGUGAGGCAUGCUGGAGGUAUCAGAAGUGCGAAUGCUGACAUAAGUAACGAUAAAGCGGGUGAAAAGCCCGCUCGCCGGAAGACCAAGGGUUCCUGUCCAACGUUAAUCGGGGCAGGGUGAGUCGACCCCUAAGGCGAGGCCGAAAGGCGUAGUCGAUGGGAAACGGGUUAAUAUUCCCGUACUUGGUGUUACUGCGAAGGGGGGACGGAGAAGGCUAUGUUGGCCGGGCGACGGUUGUCCCGGUUUAAGCGUGUAGGUGUGUGUUCCAGGUAAAUCCGGUUCACUUUAACACUGAGGCGUGACGACGAGGCACUACGGUGCUGAAGCAACAAAUGCCCUGCUUCCAGGAAAAGCCUCUAAGCAUCAGGUAACAUCAAAUCGUACCCCAAACCGACACAGGUGGUCAGGUAGAGAAUACCAAGGCGCUUGAGAGAACUCGGGUGAAGGAACUAGGCAAAAUGGUGCCGUAACUUCGGGAGAAGGCACGCUGACACGUAGGUGAAGUGAUUUACUCAUGGAGCUGAAGUCAGUCGAAGAUACCAGCUGGCUGCAACUGUUUAUUAAAAACACAGCACUGUGCAAACACGAAAGUGGACGUAUACGGUGUGACGCCUGCCCGGUGCCGGAAGGUUAAUUGAUGGGGUCAGCGCAAGCGAAGCUCCUGAUCGAAGCCCCGGUAAACGGCGGCCGUAACUAUAACGGUCCUAAGGUAGCGAAAUUCCUUGUCGGGUAAGUUCCGACCUGCACGAAUGGCGUAAUGAUGGCCAGGCUGUCUCCACCCGAGACUCAGUGAAAUUGAACUCGCUGUGAAGAUGCAGUGUACCCGCGGCAAGACGGAAAGACCCCGUGAACCUUUACUAUAGCUUGACACUGAACAUUGAGCCUUGAUGUGUAGGAUAGGUGGGAGGCUUUGAAGUGUGGACGCCAGUCUGCAUGGAGCCGGCCUUGAAAUACCACCCUUUAAUGUUUGAUGUUCUAACGUGGACCCGUGAUCCGGGUUGCGGACAGUGUCUGGUGGGUAGUUUGACUGGGGCGGUCUCCUCCUAAAGAGUAACGGAGGAGCACGAAGGUUGGCUAAUCCUGGUCGGACAUCAGGAGGUUAGUGCAAUGGCAUAAGCCAGCUUGACUGCGAGCGUGACGGCGCGAGCAGGUGCGAAAGCAGGUCAUAGUGAUCCGGUGGUUCUGAAUGGAAGGGCCAUCGCUCAACGGAUAAAAGGUACUCCGGGGAUAACAGGCUGAUACCGCCCAAGAGUUCAUAUCGACGGCGGUGUUUGGCACCUCGAUGUCGGCUCAUCACAUCCUGGGGCUGAAGUAGGUCCCAAGGGUAUGGCUGUUCGCCAUUUAAAGUGGUACGCGAGCUGGGUUUAGAACGUCGUGAGACAGUUCGGUCCCUAUCUGCCGUGGGCGCUGGAGAACUGAGGGGGGCUGCUCCUAGUACGAGAGGACCGGAGUGGACGCAUCACUGGUGUUCGGGUUGUCAUGCCAAUGGCACUGCCCGGUAGCUAAAUGCGGAAGAGAUAAGUGCUGAAAGCAUCUAAGCACGAAACUUGCCCCGAGAUGAGUUCUCCCUGAGACUUUAGGUCUCCUGAAGGAACGUUGAAGACGACGACGUUGAUAGGCCGGGUGUGUAAGCGCAGCGAUGCGUUGAGCUAACCGGUACUAAUGAACCGUGAGGCUUAACCUUACAACGCCGAAG